GUCGAUUUAGUGUAUUUAGCAUAAUAAUUUUUCGUGUUAUAGGUCUUCUUUAUAGAGGUUUCGAUA
Molecule: transfer RNA, 66 nt
Filed under: Cardiocephaloides medioconiger
Lineage: Eukaryota; Metazoa; Platyhelminthes; Trematoda; Diplostomida; Strigeidae
Description: tRNA-Glu
Source: RNAcentral